CAGUAGCCGCGGGAAUACGUAGGUGGCAAGCGUUGUCCGGAAUUAUUGGGCGUAAAGAGCUCGCAGGCAGUUUCUUAAGUCUGAUGUGAAAGCCCCCGGCUCAACCGGGGAGGGUCAUUGGAAACUGCGAAACUUGAGUGCAGAAGAGGAGAGUGGAAUUCCACGUGUAGCGGUGAAAUGCGUAGAGAUGUGGAGGAACACCAGUGGCGAAGGCGACUCUCUGGUCUGUAACUGACGCUGAGGAGCGAAAGCGUGGGGAGCGAACAGGAUUAGAUACCCGGGUAGUCCCUGUCUCUUAUAC
Molecule: ribosomal RNA, 301 nt
Filed under: uncultured bacterium
Lineage: Bacteria
Description: partial 16S ribosomal RNA
Rfam family: Bacterial small subunit ribosomal RNA
Source: RNAcentral